AAAUAAUUUUCCUUAAGUUUGUGAGUUGGCAGCAUGCACCAGGAAAAAUGCCUCUCGCUGCUGAGCGCGGUGGAGGAAGCCAUCGAGCUGAACAAGGCGGAGGCGGCGAGGAUCAGCGAGAGCGUCCUGCAGCUCCGGGAGAUCCUCCGCUCCAUGAAAGCGCAGCCGAUCAGUGCCCCAGA
This is a long non-coding RNA of Megalops cyprinoides (Indo-Pacific tarpon), 182 nucleotides long. RefSeq lists it as uncharacterized. The transcript is spliced from 3 exons. The record is from RefSeq and is a predicted model, not a curated record. NCBI's taxonomy places the organism in Eukaryota, Metazoa, Chordata, Actinopteri, Elopiformes, Megalopidae.